GACGAACGCUGGCGGCGUGCUUAACACAUGCAAGUCGAACGCUGAAGCCCAGCUUGCUGGGUGGAUGAGUGGCGAACGGGUGAGUAACACGUGAGUAACCUGCCCCCUUCUUUGGGAUAACGCCCGGAAACGGGUGCUAAUACUGGAUAUUCACUGGCCUUCGCAUGGGGGUUGGUGGAAAGGUUUUUUCUGGUGGGGGAUGGGCUCGCGGCCUAUCAGCUUGUUGGUGGGGUGAUGGCCUACCAAGGCUUUGACGGGUAGCCGGCCUGAGAGGGUGACCGGUCACAUUGGGACUGAGAUACGGCCCAGACUCCUACGGGAGGCAGCAGUGGGGAAUAUUGCACAAUGGGCGAAAGCCUGAUGCAGCGACGCCGCGUGAGGGAUGACGGCCUUCGGGUUGUAAACCUCUUUCGCUCAUGGUCAAGCCGCAACAGUGGUUGUGGUGAGGGUAGUGGGUAAAGAAGCGCCGGCUAACUACGUGCCAGCAGCCGCGGUAAUACGUAGGGCGCGAGCGUUGUCCGGAAUUAUUGCGCGUAAAGGGCUUGUAGGCGGUUGGUCGCGUCUGCCGUGAAAUCCUCUGGCUUAACUGUGGGCGUGCGGUGUGUACGUGCUGACUUGAGUGCGGUAUGGGAUACUGGAACUCCUGGUGUAUCGUUGGAAUGCUCACAUAUC
RNAcentral lists this ribosomal RNA (672 nucleotides) under uncultured Actinomyces sp. RNAcentral describes it as "bacterial SSU rRNA". It matches the Rfam family "Bacterial small subunit ribosomal RNA", at positions 28 to 698 of the family's 1533-position model. Lineage: Bacteria; Bacillati; Actinomycetota; Actinomycetes; Actinomycetales; Actinomycetaceae. The record is from RNAcentral.